GCACAAGCGGUGGAUGAUGUGGUUAAUUCGAUGCAACGCGAAAACCUUACCCACCUUUGACAUGGCAGGAAUCCCGAAGAGAUUUGGAGUGCUCGAAAGAGAACCUGCACACAGGUGCUGCAUGGCUGUCGUCAGCCCGUGUCGUGAGAUGUUGGGUUAAGUCCCGCAACGAGCGCAACCCUUGCCAUUAGUUGCUACGAAAGGGCACUCUAAUGGGACUGCCGGUGACAAACCGGAGGAAGGUGGGGAUGACGUCAAGUCCUCAUGGCCCUUAUAGGUGGGGCUACACACGUCAUACAAUGGCCGGUACAGAGGGUAGCCAACCCGCGAGGGGGAGCCAAUCCCACAAAGCCGGUCGUAGUCCGGAUCGCAGUCUGCAACUCGACUGCGUGAAGUCGGAAUCGCUAGUAAUCGCGGAUCAGCAUGUCGCGGUGAAUACGUUCCCGGGUCUU
Molecule: ribosomal RNA, 452 nt
Filed under: uncultured Allobrachymonas sp.
Lineage: Bacteria; Pseudomonadati; Pseudomonadota; Betaproteobacteria; Burkholderiales; Comamonadaceae
Description: bacterial SSU rRNA
Rfam family: Bacterial small subunit ribosomal RNA
Source: RNAcentral